GAUGAACGCUAGCGGGAGGCUUAACACAUGCAAGUCGAACGGGAUCCGAGGUAGCAAUACUUUGGUGAGAGUGGCGCACGGGUGCGUAACGCGUAUGCAACCUACCUUUAACAGGGGAAUAGCCCCGAGAAAUCGGGAUUAAUACUCCGUAACAUUGCGAUGUGGCAUCACAUUGCAAUUAAAGAUUCAUCGGUUAAAGAUGGGCAUGCGUGACAUUAGCUAGUUGGUGAGGUAACGGCCCACCAAGGCAACGAUGUCUAGGGGUCCUGAGAGGGUUAUCCCCCACACUGGUACUUGAGACACGGACCAGACUCCUACGGGUGGCAG
This 327-nucleotide ribosomal RNA is filed under the name uncultured Bacteroidota bacterium. RNAcentral's name for it is "bacterial SSU rRNA". It matches the Rfam family "Bacterial small subunit ribosomal RNA", at positions 28 to 351 of the family's 1533-position model. Lineage: Bacteria; Pseudomonadati; Bacteroidota. The record is from RNAcentral.